Long non-coding RNA from Oncorhynchus nerka (sockeye salmon), 680 nucleotides. RefSeq lists it as uncharacterized. The transcript is spliced from 2 exons. The record is from RefSeq and is a predicted model, not a curated record. NCBI's taxonomy places the organism in Eukaryota, Metazoa, Chordata, Actinopteri, Salmoniformes, Salmonidae.
CUGGUUGUGGGCUGGUUGUGGUAGGGCUGGUUGUGGUAGGGCUGGUUGUAUUAGGGCUGGUUGUAGUAGGGCUGGUUGUAUUAGGGCUGGUUGUGGUAGGGCUGGUUGUGGUAGGGCUGGUUGUAUUAGGGCUGGUUGUGGUAGGGCUGGUUGUGGUAGGGCUGGUUGUAGUAGGGCUGGUUGUAUUAGGCAAUGCAGGUGUAGCCCAAAUUGAAGCCUUAGAAUGAAUGAAUUGCGGGAAUCAACGCAGUUGAUUAUGAUUCUAAUAUGAUUCAAUUCAAUAAUAUGAUUCAGUUGAUUCAAUUGAAUGAUUCAAUUGCACAUUAGAUGAAUCAUUCUCAGGAUGGAUGAGCCUAGUAUGUUGCUUACUGCAUUCGUUUGUACUAAACAGUAUGUGUGUAGUACGAUUAGUACACAGAAUGUAGUUUUAUUAAGUAGUAGGCAAGACAGAUUUCGGACACAGCCAUUGUCACAAAUUACAAUUAUGUAAAAGUGUGAUGUUUUGCACAUACAGUAUCAAUACAAUUUCAAGACAGAAACAAAUGUUUCCUUACAAAGCAAUGGAGUUUAGGUAAUUCAUAAACAAUGUCAUAUUACAUGUGGUGAUAUCUCACAUUGGAAACAUUUAAAACUAACCUAUCCUGCUAAACCAGAUAAAGAACUGUGUGUUACAAUGUUCA